GAAUUUGGCGGUAUUAUAGNNNNNNNNNAGGAAUCUGUUACGUGAUCGAUAGUCCACGAUGAACCUUACUUACUUUAGAUUUUGUAUACCGCUGUUUAUUGAUUUUACUAUUAGGUUAUUUUCGGGAUCAGUUAUUAAUUAANAUUUCAAGYCAAGGUGCAGUAAUAUGUAAGUUGAAUAAUGGAUUACAAUAMAUUUUAUUUAAAUGGAUUUUUAUUUGAAUAUAAUUUGAAGGUGGAUUUAAUUGUAAUUUUGUAAAGAUUAUUAAAAUGAUUAUAGCUCUNUAAUAUGUACACAUCGCCC
This 303-nucleotide ribosomal RNA is filed under the name Gonypeta borneana. RNAcentral describes it as "partial 12S ribosomal RNA". The record is from RNAcentral. Lineage: Eukaryota; Metazoa; Arthropoda; Insecta; Mantodea; Gonypetidae.